CCCAGUUGGAUUUCCAUUUAUCGGGCAGGGAAGCAAAAUAAACUACUUUUGACGGAUCCAAUGAUAAUGAGGAGUUGUGAUUGGUUUUCAGCAUUUGGUAACGUCACUUGCGGUUUGUGUGGUUUGUUCAUUUCUUUUGUAGUCUUUUUUCCCACGUUGCCGAAAAAUAGUUCUAUGCAAUAUAAAACGUGAUAUUGAAGUGAAAGUUACUGUUCAUGCAAUUUCAUAAGGUAAUCCAGGCCGCCUCUGAGAGAGAAGAUAUUUCAGUCAAUCAGAGGAACUUUUGUAACAUUCCAUACUUCCUAUGGGCCUUCCUAGCCUGCAAAUCAGUCAAAACUCAAAAGGCCAAAAACGGCUGCUUUGCAAGCUAAGGCCUUCCAAGAUAUACUUGAAUCCACACUUAGGGCCUGUUUAUAUGAUCCCGGCCAGGCGGGACGGGAUGCUUACCGAGAUCCCGCGCGUAAUACAAAUUUUAAAGAGUGCAUGUUUAUAUGAUCCCGCGGGAUCUCGGCAACAGAUGCCGGGAUCUCGGCAACAGAUGCCGGGAUCCCGCCUACUAAGCGAGAUGAAAAAUUCCCAUAUAAACACUUCAUCCACAUCCCAUCCAUCCCUUUUGAGCA
Non-coding RNA from Paramuricea clavata, 620 nucleotides. NCBI's taxonomy places the organism in Eukaryota, Metazoa, Cnidaria, Anthozoa, Malacalcyonacea, Plexauridae. The record is from the annotation of a GenBank genome assembly.